AGUCGAGCGGGGGAGAUUGCUUCGGUAAUUGACCUAGCGGCGGACGGGUGAGUAAUACUUAGGAAUCUGCCUAUUAAUGGGGGACAACAUCUCGAAAGGGAUGCUAAUACCGCAUACGCCCUACGGGGGAAAGCAGGGGAUCACUUGUGACCUUGCGUUAAUAGAUGAGCCUAAGUCGGAUUAGCCAGUUGGUGGGGUAAAGGCCUACCAAGGCGACGAUCUGUAGCGGGUCUGAGAGGAUGAUCCGCCACACUGGGACUGAGACACGGCCCAGACUCCUACGGGAGGCAGCAGUGGGGAAUAUUGGACAAUGGGGGGAACCCUGAUCCAGCCAUGCCGCGUGUGUGAAGAAGGCCUUAUGGUUGUAAAGCACUUUAAGCGAGGAGGAGGCUCUCUUGGUUAAUACCCAAGAUGAGUGGACGUUACUCGCAGAAUAAGCACCGGCUAACUCUGUGCCAGCAGCCGCGGUAAU
This 472-nucleotide ribosomal RNA is filed under the name uncultured bacterium. RNAcentral describes it as "bacterial SSU rRNA". It matches the Rfam family "Bacterial small subunit ribosomal RNA", at positions 60 to 524 of the family's 1533-position model. The record is from RNAcentral.